UACGUAGGUGGCAAGCGUUGUCCGGAUUUACUGGGCGUAAAGCGCGUGUAGGCGGCAGACCAAGUCGGCGGUGAAAGCGCCCGGCUCAACUGGGCGAGGUCCGUGGAAACUGGUCAGCUGGAGGACGGUAGAGGCGAGUGGAAUUCCCGGUGUAGUGGUGGAAUGCGUAGAUAUCGGGAGGAACACCAGUGGCGAAGGCGGUUGCCUGGGGCUUUGCUGACGCUGAUGCGCGAAAGCGUGGGGAGCGAGUCCGG
Molecule: ribosomal RNA, 254 nt
Filed under: uncultured bacterium
Lineage: Bacteria
Description: partial 16S ribosomal RNA
Rfam family: Bacterial small subunit ribosomal RNA
Source: RNAcentral